GUUUACUGAAAAUAAACACAGUUGACAGUGAGGACGUUUCUUUUGCCGAGUUUACAAUACAGAAUGCGUAGACAUAAUUUACUUUCUAAAAAGGAGUCACAAAUGAGACUUGUUUAAGCAUCAGAAACAUUUAUUUUACAACAGCACAUCCGAUAAAUGACACCGGUCUUCUCUUUCAGACAGUAGAUGACCAUGCUAAAACAUACAUCCUAUCUUCUAUUUACUUCCACUGUAUGUACAGGAUAACUCAACCAUUCAUUCUAAAUGACCACACACCUAGUUACAUACCAUUUAAGCUAUAUAUUCAUUUAUUAAAAAGAUACAAAAUAAAAUAAUGCUUCAUUAUUAUCUUACCACUAUAUAUUUGCACUAAUAUUUCUUGUUGGUUUUUAAAAAAAGUUUCUAAACACAAUGUUGUUUCUUGAUCCGGUAGAACUUCGUUUUGUACACACAUUGCAUUCUCUCCGACAAGUUGAAUGUAUUUCAACACCUCAAAAGAGGAGAAGGAAACCACAGCAAGGAUUUUCAUUUGUCAACGUCUUCAUAUUAACAGAUAUUCUGAUAAUACAACCAAAUCAAAUCAAAAUGAGUGAGUAGUGGGCAGGCCAAUUAACUACAACCAAUUAAAAAUGUUUGACUUGAUAAUUGAACCUUCUUAGAAAAGAAAAGGAGGGAAUAUAAAGGAAGACAGAUUUUGCUCUUUCUUACACUGGAGCUCAACAAAAUGGAGGCUGGUCCCAGACCUGUUUGUGCUCUUGCCAACCCCAUUAAUAUCCUUUUCAAGCCAAGUGCCAAUGAGUGACAAGGAGUUGGUAUGAUAGCACAAACAGACUGGCACUCAGGUUAGGACAAAAUGACAAGUGGAUCAUUUUUUUUUUUAGAUUGACACUGAAAACUCAAGAGUAAAAACACAGCCUGCUAACAUGAGGUAAAACAAGAUCUAACAACAAUAUAUAUAUAUAUAUAUAAACAAUCUAAAAACACAAAUGAGAUUCAUCAACACAUUACAUCACAUAUACAACCACCAUGCUGCUCAAAGAUGAUUGGCUAGCGAGUCUGAGUGACUACUGAGGGUGUUGGAACACCUAGAACCAUCGUGAUGCCGCUGCUGCUUCUUCAUUGUAGUAAACUGGUCUUUUAGUAUGUAUCCCAAAUGGCACCCUAUUCCCUAUAUAGUGCACUACUUUUGACCAGGUCCCAUUGUGGUAGGGCUCUGGUUUAAAAAAAAGAAAAAGGAAAAAAAAUAAGUGUCCCCUACAUAAGGACUAUGAUGCCAUCUGGGAUUACAAGCCAUACUCUCAUAUUCAGUCUGACUAAAUACAGAAAUGUAGCCAACAGGCAUAACCACCACUUUGGAUAUAUAAAAUGUUAUUAUCGUAUCCGACAACAUAAAUAAGAAACAAUACAAUCUAUUGCAGAAAAAAAAAACACACAAAAAAAAAAAAUCUACUUUUUUUGUUUGUUGCAAAACUCAAAUAUACACAACUUAAUAAAAACUCAACCAAUACAUUUCUCAUUACUUCCUCAAAGACAAAUCUAAAACCAAGAGUUGAAUAGAUUGGUGGUAAUAGGUAUAUAGAGGGAGACGUUCUGAGCACUUUUACCCACUAACACUGAACUCUGACCUCCUAGCACAAGCAUUCAUACACAUGUACGCAGUAUUACGCACGCACAUGUAACAGUUUAGCUUCCGUCCCUCUCCUCGCCCCGACCUGGGCUCGAACCAGGGACCCUCUGCACACAUCAACAACUGACACCCCACGAAGCAUCGUUACCCAUCGCGUUACCCACCCAUUGCAGAGCAAGGGGAACAUCUACUUCAAGGUCUCAGAGAGAGAGUGACGUCACCGAUUUGAAACGCUAUUAGCGAGCACCACCGCUAACUAGCUAGCCAUUUCACAACGGUUACACUCACACAGAGCUGCUAAGAGACUAAUUUAAAUGAUGUUAGUAAAUCCUUCAGAGCUCAAAUUAAUGUCGAGUUUCAGUACGGACAAACAAGACUGGAUUGGACAGAGAGGAGGAGGGUAGUUAACACAGAGGGUAGUAGUAUUGGAGAGAACACAACAGAGAGCAAGAGGAGAACGACGAUGAAGAAGAGGAGAAAAUGGAGGAAGAGGGAAAGCAUCCACAUGAUGACACUGAAUAAAAUAGAGAUAUUUUUCUAUUAAAAACUAAUGGAAAUCAUUCUGGCUUAAAAGACACUGUCCAUAUUAUACGGCAGGGAUCCUCAACGAGAUUUCAGCUGCAGGUUCAGAUUUUAUUUUCUUGAGCAGAUGGUCAGGGUGCAAGAACAUAAUUACAAAUUAUUUGUACAGAUAUAAUAAUUGACUAUAAAACAUAAUUAUUUCAAACCUGGGUUACAUUUGUAUUAAGAUCACAUGUCAACCGCCAGUUGGUGGAACCCUGCUAUACCGUAUCCAUGGUAACAGUCUAGGUAGGUUUAGGUGUAAUCAGUGUCAGAACCCUGCUAUACCGUAUCCAUGGUAACAGUCUAGGUAGGUUUAGGUGUAAUCAGUGUCAGAACCCUGCUAUACCGUAUCCAUGGUAACAGUCUAGGUAGGUCUAGGUGCAAUCAGUGUCAGAACCCUGCUAUACUGUAUCCACGGUAACAGUCUAGGUAGGUCUAGGUGCAAUCAGUGUUUACCCUUCAUUAAAACACACAUCUUUCAUAGUGUGGUCCCCUGCUCCCUUUCUAUCUAGUCACAUGCUUCUCAUAUUUCACUACGAUCAAAACUCCCAGGAACAACGCAACAAAGGAAAACAAAAAUCUGUAAGCAGCGCAAGUGUUUAGUCCAUAAGCAGAGUACCAUGUGCCUUUAUCAGUACACGAUUAGGGAGGCAAAUAGUUCACACUCUCUACAGUACACAACGAUAAACUAAAUCAACCUUCUUUGUGGGUUUGUGUGUGUGUGUUUCCGUAUAAGACAACCUGUUGACAUGGUAGCUGUGGACCUACGGACCGUGACAAGUCGUAACACGGACAUCUUGUUGCUGCCCGAGGAGGGGACAGUGUCAAAACAUCAACAGCAGUCAAAUCAUGGUCCAAACAGAAUGGUAGAACAUGGCUCAGAAGUCAGGAAGAAUAUCAGGUCCACUUCUCUAAAUUUAAAAAGUGAGGUUGAUCAAGCCCCUGAUGGACAGGUGGUCCAGUGUUAAUGAAAUGUGACUGUUAGUUAUAGUCUCUACACAGUCUAAACUCAUGCAAUAUAUACUUAACAAAAAUAUAAAACGCAACAUGUAAAGUGUUGGUCCCAUGUUUCAUGAGCUGAAAUAAAAACAUCCCAGAAAUGUUCCAUACGCACAAAAAGCUUAUUUCUCUCAAAUUUUAUGCACAAAUUUGUUUACAUCCCUGUUAGUGAGCAUUUCUCCUUUGCCAAGAUAAUCCAUCCACCUGACAGGUGUGGCAUAUCAAGAAGCGGAUUAAACAGCAUGAUCAUUACACAGGUGCACCUUGUGCUGGAGACAAUAGAAGUCCACUCUAAAAAUGUGCAGUUUUGUCACACAACACAAUGCCACAGAUGUCUCAAGUUGAAGGAGCAUGCAAUUGGCAUGCUGCCUGAAUGUUCACCAGAGCUGUUGCCAGAUAAUCGAAUGUUAAUUUCUCUACCAUAAGCCGCCUACGUUGUUUUAGAGAAUUUGGCAGUACGUCGAACCGGCCUCACAACAGCAGACCACAUGUAUGGCGUCGCGUGGUUUGCUGAUGUCAACGUUGUGAACAGAGUGCCCCAUGGUGGUGGUGGGGUUAUAGUAUGGGUAUAAGCUACGGACAACGAACACAAUUGCAUUUUAAUCGAUGCCAAUUUGAAUGUAGAGAAAUGCUGUGACAAGCUCCUGAGGUAUCUGUGACCAACAGAUGCAUAUCUGUAUUCCCAGUCAUGUGAAAUUCAUAGAUUAGGGCCUAAUUAAUUUAUUUCAAUUAACCGAUUUCCUCAUAUGAACUGUAAUUCAGAAAAAUCUUUGAUAAUUGUUACAUGUUGCGUUUAUAUUUUUGUUCAGUAUAUAUAUAUAUAUAUAUAUAUA
This 4023-nucleotide long non-coding RNA is filed under the name Salmo salar (Atlantic salmon). Its description in RNAcentral is "lncRNA (ENSSSAG00000111095.1)". The record is from RNAcentral. Lineage: Eukaryota; Metazoa; Chordata; Actinopteri; Salmoniformes; Salmonidae.